This 472-nucleotide long non-coding RNA is filed under the name Pan troglodytes (chimpanzee). Its description in RNAcentral is "lincRNA". The record is from RNAcentral. Lineage: Eukaryota; Metazoa; Chordata; Mammalia; Primates; Hominidae.
AGAUAUCAGAAAGUUAAAGUUUCUCUUGCUGCCAUCAUGUAAGAAGGACCUUUUACCUCCCACCAUGAUUCUAAGGCCUCCCCAGCCACGUGGAACUGCUUUCAUUUGGUCUCUUUUCGAAUCAGAAGACCCAGAAAACUUGGAUCCACUUCUGGCUCUCAUCCCUCUGGGCAGUGUGAUUUGGAUUGAGCAGAUGCUCUGGGUGCCACUCCAUCAUAUACUGGAAACAGCAUUACUUUAUAUUAAAUCAUGACCAUGGUGUAUGGCAAUGAAGGUGCAUCUGAAGCAGCCGGCACCCUAUGUGCUAGCUGGCUUUUAGAGCAGGAGACUGUGAAUCUGUGGUCAGGAUCUCUUUAGGGCUGGCUAAAUAUAUACUACCCACUAUCACUCACUGGAGCUGCAGACCCUAGUCUUAGAGUUUCACUUCUUAAAGACCUUCAUCCUUAUUAAAAUGGUAAUAUCCUUACUGUCA